RNAcentral lists this long non-coding RNA (237 nucleotides) under Manihot esculenta (cassava). RNAcentral's name for it is "long non-coding RNA (MESC_LNC010371)". The record is from RNAcentral. Lineage: Eukaryota; Viridiplantae; Streptophyta; Magnoliopsida; Malpighiales; Euphorbiaceae.
ACUCAGGCCAGUGGCAGAGGCAGAGGGAGAGGGGCAGCCUCUUCUUCAGCGGGUUUCAGAGGUGAAGGUCCAUCAGCUCCAGCACGGAUCUUCACAAUGACACAGCAGGAGGCAGAUGCAUCUAACACCGUGGUGGCAGGUAACUUAGUCAUUGGUUGUUCAGAUGUGUAUGCCUUGAUGGACCCGGGCGCAUCUCACUCUUUUAUUGCACCGAGAGCCGUCCAGAGGUUAGGGUUG